Molecule: unclassified non-coding RNA, 1089 nt
Filed under: Drosophila yakuba
Lineage: Eukaryota; Metazoa; Arthropoda; Insecta; Diptera; Drosophilidae
Description: GE19097
Source: RNAcentral
GACAGAAUCCGAAGCAGCCAACGAAUCUGUGGGUUAAUCGUUUCGCAGCGACAGCUCUGCGAGUCACCGCAGCCAAACAAAUGGAGAUUAUGCGACUUUAGUCUAUAUUUUGAUGGCACUGCUCAAGGUGUGUGCCCGCCGACGGAAAAACUCGUAUGAAAAUUGUGAAAAUCAAAUCUAGCUGCGCCAUGUACUGCACCACCAGACUGCUCAGAUACGUGCUGUGUGUCAUCAGUGGCAUCUGUGCCCUAGGUGGCUGCCUGCUCAUCUGGUACGGCGCCUGGCUGCUGGACAGCCUCUCCGACGAGCAGCGGGUGAUGGGCAUGGAUCACGGCGAGGACUUGGCCGCUCUUCUCUGCGUCCUACUGGGCACCGUCAUCGUAGUGGGCAGCAUUUUCGGAUGGAUGGCUGUGGCCAAGGAUUCCAGGGCGCUGUUGAUCUGCUAUGCAGUUCUGCUGGUGUUCCUCUUGAUCAUUCAGUUUGUAAUGGUCAGCAUAAGUUAUGCCGCCAGCCGAGAUUCCCUGCCGGAUUCUUUGACGCAAGGACUUGAUGACCUGUGGGAUGCGCAUCACGAAGGCAACAGCACCCUGAACACCUACGAGGAGUGGCUUCACUGUGUGGCCGCAGAAGUGCCGAGGACUACCUACACUUGGAGAAAAUGCCGCCGCCAAGUUGUUGUCUCGAUCGGGACUGCACCAAGCCAAUGAAUCUCUUCAUGACGGGCUGCGAAGUCAAGUUCAAGGAGUAUGUCAGCGCCAAGACUUCCAACUUCCACUCGCUAAGUUGGAUCCUUGUAUUCUUUGAGUUCGCCGGCUCGGUGACCACCUGCUACCUGGUUGACAGCAUUCGCAAUCAUCGCGACCGCAUAAGAUUCUAUAAUUAAGAUAGUAUUUACGAACCGUAUUAUCGUUAUUUGUUGUGAAUAAUUUCCUAGCCCCACGGCCCUGGCGAAUUGUGAUUGUAGCUUACGAUGAUUAACCAAGUUAGGCUACAGAUACCAAGUAUUCAUUCAUAAAACUGUAAACUGGCACCCACGCCUAGACAUAAUUCGAAACGAAAAUAAAUAAGCCCGUUGCCAUUGACUAAACU